AACACGUGGACAAUCUGCCCCCCGGUCCGGGAUAGCCCAGGGAAACCUGGAUUAAUACCGGAUGCGAGCGCGAGCACACAGGUGUUUGCGGGGAAAGGCGCUUCGGCGCCGCCGGGGGAUGAGUCCGCGGCCCAUUAGCUAGGCGGCGGGGUAAAGGCCCACCGUGGCGACGAUGGGUAGCCGGCCUGAGAGGGUGAUCGGCCACAUUGGAACUGAGACACGGCCAGACUCCUACGGGAGGCAGCAGCUAAGAAUCUUCCGCAAUGGGCGAAAGCCUGACGGAGCGACGCCGCGUGAACGAUGAAGGCCGUGAGGUUGGAAAGUUCUUUUCGGGAGGAGGAAUAAGCGGGGCAGGAAACGGCCUUGCGAUGACGUGAAUCCCGGAAUAAGCCCCGGCUAACUACGUGCCAGCAGCCGCGGUAACACGUAGGGGGCGAGCGUUGUUCGGAAUCAUUGGGCGUAAAGGGCGUGCAGGCGGCCCUGCAAGUCCGGCGUGAGAUGCCCCGGCUCAACCGGGGAGACGCGCUGGAAACUGCGGGGCUGGAGUACAGGAGGGGAUGCCGGAAUUCCAGGUGUAGGGGUGAAAUCUGUAGAUAUCUGGAGGAACACCAAUGGCGAAGGCAGGCAUCUGGCCAUGUACUGACGCUGAGACGCGAAGGUGCGGGGAGCAAACAGGUUUAGAUACCCUGGUAGUCCGCACAGUAAACGAUGUGCACCAGGUGGCGGGGGGGUCGACCCCCGGUACCGAAGCUAACGCAUUAAGUGCACCGCCUGGGGAGUAUGCUCGCAAGGGUGAAACUCAAAGGAAUUGACGGGGGCCCGCACAAGCGGUGGAGCAUGUGGUUUAAUUCGAUGAUACGCGAGAAACCUUACC
RNAcentral lists this ribosomal RNA (874 nucleotides) under uncultured bacterium. RNAcentral's name for it is "bacterial SSU rRNA". It matches the Rfam family "Bacterial small subunit ribosomal RNA", at positions 112 to 975 of the family's 1533-position model. The record is from RNAcentral.